RNAcentral lists this transfer RNA (74 nucleotides) under Candidatus Helarchaeota archaeon. RNAcentral's name for it is "tRNA-Gly". It matches the Rfam family "tRNA". From Rfam's summary of the family: Transfer RNA (tRNA) molecules are approximately 80 nucleotides in length. Lineage: Archaea; Promethearchaeati; Candidatus Helarchaeota. The record is from RNAcentral.
GCGCCUGUAGUCCAACUUGGCUAAGACAUUGGCCUGCCACGCCAACGAUCCGGGUUCGAAUCCCGGCAGGCGCA